RNAcentral lists this unclassified non-coding RNA (223 nucleotides) under Hevea brasiliensis (rubber tree). The record is from RNAcentral. Lineage: Eukaryota; Viridiplantae; Streptophyta; Magnoliopsida; Malpighiales; Euphorbiaceae.
GCACACAUGUUAAGGAAAAAUGGGCAAAAAAUCUCUAUCUUUCCUGUCUCUGCUAUGGACGAACUGUAUCUUGAGAGGAUGGAAAAUCUGAUGUUGGACAUUUUUCCUUCACCCCUUUUAUUUUCUCAUUGUCAGUCAAUUGUAAAAAGUGAGGAAAUCUUAAUUAUGGUGGCACUUGCUUCUUUUAGCUUGUUUGGAUAGUGGCAAACUUUCUCGUCUCUUG